GGCAGUAGAAAUCUUAUCUAUUUUGUCUACUACCUACAGAUUUGGACAAAGUGAUAUUUAUGUGUGGGAGCUGAGCCAACAAGGUGUAGUGCUUGUAUGCCACGUUUUUGAACCUUUAGUGUGCUGGCACUCUAGGAAUCCUCCUUCAUCAAGCGUGGAUGAGCUCCACUGCACCUGCCCCUAUAUUCAUUGCCUUGGACUGUACUCAGUUUAGCUUCCCUCCCCUGCCCUCAUGCUCUAGCCAAAGUUGCAGCUGGUACGUGGUAGUUCAUGUAUCCAUGCUGGUAGUAGCUCUUCUCCUCAGCCACCAGUGCAGUUUACCCUUGUUCAUCACAGCCAACUCCUGUGUUUGGUGACCACAACAGCAAUCCUUCAACCUCACCAUGGCCAGGGUUCGUGGAGAUUGUCUCGGUAUUGUUGUGCCCGUUCCUUGUUCCUCACAGGUGAUGAGGAGUACUCUAAGUGUUCCUGUGGCUGGAGGGCGUUUCCAGUUCUGGAGGAAGAUUAGCUAGGCUUGUGUAUAAGCUUUGGAGGGUUCCUACCUUCUUGCUAUUGUAAUAAGUUAUGCACUUUGAGUAUAUCAGGACUUGUAAUAAAUGUAACUCUUCCUAUGUAAUAAACUUCCGUUUUAGAAAUGAAAAUAAUGUUUUAUAAAGUAUUCCGCUCUUAUCUCCGAAGUGUGUGUGUAUCGAAUGUCAUUACUGUAAUAUGCAUGUAUGGUGGGAGAUCCUUGGGAUGAUGAGUUCAAGUUAUUGAACUCGUGAUAGUCUUGUUAAGUUACAUGGUACACGUGCAUAGCCAUCUGAGGCCAUCAAGGAAAGGAUUGGUGCAUGUGGGCCCGAUAACUUGGGAGGGCUGUCACAGCGUGAUAUCGGAGCGAUGCCCCAUUAUCAUGGAUAUUAAAGUAAUCCUUUGAUAGACUUCAAAAGGAUUUUGAGUCCAAAUUAUUUUGGAAAAACUUAAGAAUGAAUAAGCAAAUCCUGAUAGUCGAAGUGCAAAUAGUAUAUGGGUAAGUUAAGGACUAUAAGGUGGCUUAGUUUAGGAUGCUAACCACUAACCCGCAACUAUAAUGCAAUUUUCUGCAGGUACACUAACUAAACCCUAGGAAAGUGCGACUAGUAUUCCAUGACGGAGUGAGUAGGUAUGCCACCGCCAUAGAACGUGAAAGCCACUAUAUGUUGGCAAGAAUUGCGAGGACGAAUUGGACGAGCAUGCAUCAUGACAUACAAUUUUAAGUUAAGCCUCCUAUGUAGUAGCUUAGUACAUGUUUUAUCCAUCAUAUUCAUGCUACCUAUCUUUGUUUUUCUAUACUACCUUUUCCUAUUCGUGAAGCCUUGAAACCCAGUUCAUUUGGUGGACCUGUAGUUUAUAAGGUACAGUUGCCAAAGAAUUUUUCAACAGUGCACAACAUGUUCUACAUGUCCCAGUUAAAGAAAUGUCUUCGAGUCCCCAAGCAUGUUAUUGAGAUUUCAGAUGUUAACCUUGGACCAGAUUUAACCUACUUGGAAUAUCCCAUAAAGGUGUUGGAUCUAAAGGAUCGGGUCACUUGAAGAAAAACUAUCAAGUUUUACUAGAUAUAGUGGAACCAACACCCGGAAGAUAAACCAUAUGGGAAUCAAAGGAGUAUUUAGAAAAACAUUUUCCUGAGUUCUUAGUUUCUUCUAAGCCCUAGGUUUUAUGUAGUUGUUUUUUAUGUGAACCAACAAGGGUACACCCCUGUCUUGUAGGAGUAAUGGGGAAAGAAACUGGUGACGCGUUUCCUUUUCCAUUAUCUAGCCUAGAGUUUUAAUCUUGGGACGAGACUUCUUUUUAGGGGGAAAGACUGUAACACCCCUGGUGUUACGAUAACUAAAAGCAGUGUGGCUCCCAUUCACUGCUCUCCGGUAGACAUGGAAAUGGUAACCCAGAUUUUUCCUUGCAAAGUUGAAACACUUCCUCUUAAAUAUCUCGGGCUGCCUCUUUCCCUCAGGAAGCUAAGCAAGGAGCAGCUGCAACCGCUAAUCGAUAGGCUUGCUGACCUCUUACCUAAUUGGAAGGCCGACCUGAUGACUCGAGCUGGCAGAGCCAUCCAGGUGCAACAUGUGCUCACGGCAACAGUUAUAUACCACGCCAUGGCAUUGGAUUUACCUAAGUGGGCUAUCAAAGCCAUUGACAAGAUUAGACGUGGCUUUCUUUGGAAAGGACGUAAGGAUGUGCUCGGUGGCCACUGCUUAGUCGCUUGGGGCAAAGUGACACGCCCAAAGGAGCUUGGUGGGCUUGGCAUCUCAGAUUUACAAAAGCUGAAUUGGGCCCUUCGGGUUAGAUGGCUGUGGUUGGAAAAAACGGAUCCCUCGAAGUCUUGGGCUGAUUUACCUCUCCAGAGUUCCAGCAUUCUGAAAUCUAUCCUCUCUACAGCUUUGAUUACAGAAAUUGGUGAUGGUCGUAACACCUUAUUUUGGAGGGACAGAUGGUUGAUGGGGUUGAGGAUUGAGGAUCUAACUCCUCAUAUUUUUGCCAUCGUCCCGACCAGGAUUACCAAUAGGAGAACGGUGGCUGAGGGUAUCGUGGAGAUGGCUUGGAUUCGGGACCUGAGAGGCACCAUCACUUGGGAUAUCCUCUCGGAUUUUUUAACUCUUAGUGAAGUCAUUGCAGAUUACUCCAUUAAUGUUGGAGUGCCAGACAAGCAUAUCUGGAAAUUCUCCCCGACAGGCCAAUACUCUUCAAAGUCGGCUUAUGAUAUGUUAUUUCUUGGUUCCACUUCCUUGAGAGCAUAUGAGCGCAUUUGGGAAUCUUGGGCACCUUCAAAGUGCAGUUUCUUCCUUUGGCUUGUCAUGCACAACAGAUGCUGGACCGCAGACCGUCUUGCUAGAAGGGGGCUGCCCCACCCCAGUGUGUGCCCCCUUUGCGACCAAGAAGAGGAAACAAUACAACAUCUUCUCAUCUCUUGCGUCUUUGCACGACAGUUCUGGUAUUCCUUGUUAAGCAGGUCUGGGUUGCCUAACCUUUCACCAGAUAAUGCUAGUUGCAGCCUUGAUGACUGGUGGAGCAGAGCUGUGGAGAAGAUUCCCCGUGACCUCCAAUCCGGCUUCAAUUCUCUAGUUAUUCUUGGCGCUUGGUGCCUAUGGCGUCAUCGCAACGACUGCGUGUUUAAUGGGAGAUCGCCAAGUCUGGCGAGUGCUCUCACCCUCGCUGGCGAUGAGCUCAGGAUGUGGUGUAGUGCCGGGGCAAAAGGGCUGAACCUGCUUUCAACUCUUAUGUUUAUGCUUGACCCAGGGGGAUAGACUAGUGGCUUGUUCAGAGUGGUUGUGUGUGGUUUCUGUGUUGCGUCUUGUGUCUUGUUGUGUCAUGUGUGUGUGUGUCGUGUCAGGUGUGUGUCGGGUGUGGUGUGUUGUACCUUCUUCUAUCUAUUAAUGGAAUGAUACGCAGAUCUCCUGCGUGUUCGAGAAAACGAUAACUAAAAAUUUUGCAUGUCAUCGUCUGCACUUGCAUUAACUGCUUGAUACACCUAGAAUGCAUUCACUAGGUCAAAAAAUUUCAAUGAAUAUGGUGUUGUGUAUUAGAGUAUAGGGCUCAGAUUAAGAACUUUGCUUAAGACAUGGGAAGAGAAGUCGUCUCUUGAGCAAGUAAUAAGUUGGCUUGGAAUUUAAAGUAUUAAAGGUAAGUCUUAGGACCAAGAGCAACUUUGCUUUCAAAGGUGGGUUAAGUGGAAGAAUUAAUUGAGGAACUAGAUUAACCUUAAAAACCUUAAGUGAGAUUUCAAAACCUUGCUUGGAAUUGUGGAUAAACAAAACAACUCCUAAACCAAGAACACUUUGGACAUGAGCUUCAUAUACUAGAGUUGGAUUUGAGAUUAAGGAGUCACUUGUCUUUUAGGAGUAUGGAUUGAGUUCGUAAAUCAAUAGAUGAGGAGUUACAUUUGAAACCCUAAACUAGCGCAAAAGUGUAAUUUAAAAUUUAGAAAGGACUGGUUAAAAGUUCAUAUACCAAAGUUGUAGAGCUUGGAAAAGUGAAUAACUUUAUUAUUUGAAGAUUCCCAAGUUGUCUGGAAGAUUUUGGAGUUAAGUACAAAAUUCAGUUUUGGGUUCAUUUUGAAAUUGCUUAAAAUAAUAUAAACUAGUCAAAUUUGAACCCUUGUAACUUCUAAUAUAAAACCAUUUAGAAGAUGGUCAUUAUAACAAAGUUAUAGGGCCACAUGAGGAGUAUAAGUUUGGUUGAGUCACCUAGCCCUAAAGCUAUUUGGAACAUGGAGAAAAACUAAUCCAAAGUAGAGCUAACAGAGUUUCUGGAUUUCAGACUUGGUAGAAUUCAGAGUCUGAAUUUCAGCAAUUGGAACAAAUUUUGAGCUAUUGUAGUUUGGAAUGCAAGAGGUUUUGGUUAAUGACCACUAUAGCAAACUUGUAGAAUAAGUAUAAGAGAACAACUGUUAUUAAGUGUCACAGCCCUGGAACUAUAUACAACUAGGAGAAAAAGAUGAUCCAAAGUGAGGCUGUCAGACUUUUGAAUUUCAAAUUGUGAACAGUGUCUGAAAUCAGAUUUCUGUCUUUUGAUAGCUGUUUCAGAGCCUGUUUGUGGCUGAUCUAGAAGUUUUGGUCUGUGAUGUUUAUGAAGGAAGUAAAUACCAUAUGAUAGUGAACAAAUCUAAUAAAGUGGCUUUGACUUGAUUCCACACAGAAAAUGGAGAAAAACUUGUUCAAAGUUGGACUGGCAGACAGUGUUUCAACUGAACUUAGUUCAGUUGAGAACUGAAAUUGCAGCAGGAUGCCUAGUUUAGAGAUCAUUUGUGAUUAAUUCAGGUGGUUUUAGACUAAGGUUUCCAUAGUUAAGUAAGAGACCAUAGUAAAUAGAACAAGUCUCCUUAAAUAAGUAUAGCUUGGUGCUACAAAAAAAAGGAGUAACGGCUGCUUAAUGUGGUACUGUGUUAGGUGGCUGAAACUGAAUUAUAUUCAGUUAUUGAAAACGGAAUUUCAGUGAAAGGUGCUGAGUUUGGAUCCCAUUUGUGACUGAUUUGUGUUGAUUUAGACUAAGGGUUCCAUAGCAAAGUUGUAGACCAUAGUAAAGUGAACAAGUUUGCAAAAGUAAGAUGGACCUGGUUUCACAUAAAAAGUGGAGUAAAGUGUGCUCAAAGUUGGUUUAUCAGGUGUUGGGAUUCAGACAGUAUAAAACCAAAGUCUGAAUAUGUGUGUUUUUACCCAACUUUGGGGCCUUGGCGUAAUAAAUCCAAAGAGAUUUGGGUUAAGAGUCUGUAUCAAAAUUAGAGACCAGUUGUAGAUAAACAUGUUUUGUGCAAAGAGUGGGCUUGCUACUGUAUGGAAUUUAGAGAAUAGCCUGCUACAAAAUCCUCUGUCAGACUUAUUGGGGGUUGUUUCAGUGCACUGAAAAUCUGUUUUAGGGUUGUGUUUAAUUAACUUUAGAGCUCUCUAGGAAUUGAUCCAUGGGGUUGUGAGCUAUACUCUAUAUAAAAAGUGGAAUACCUUAUGUUGGUGUAUAUGUUUUGUGUGGUGAGAGUGGCUUGGUGCUACAUGAAAAAGGGAGUAAAAUACCCCCAAUAUUCCUCUGUCAGUGAGAAUGAAGGAUGGGGAGGUGUGUUGGCUCAGUUCAGUAACUGAAACUAGUUUCUAUGUUUUCUGUCAGGAAUUGGGGAUAUUUUGUACCUAAUCUAAGGAGUUUUAAGCUAAAGUCCCUAUAACCAAAUGAAGUCCAUAGAGUAGUGAACAAAUUCUCUUAGGAAGGUGGGACUUGGUGCGGUACAAAACUGGGAGUAAGUUGUGUCAGAAAGUUCCCUGUCAAGUUGAGGUUGUGCUGUUCAGUAACUGAAAAUUGGAGGUUUCAGUGAUCUGUUGCUGUGUUUGGGGCACCAUAACUUUUGAUCCAGGGUCAUUUGGCCUUGGGUUUUUGCAACAAGCUUGUGGAGCUAUGUUGGAUGAACAAAUUCCUUGAGGUGAGGGAGACUUGGAUACACAGAACUGGGAGAAUAGGUGUCCAUAUUGUUCUCUGCAGUUGUGCUGUAUUUUGUGACUGAAACAGAAUGUAGUGAGAUUUGGCUAAGUUUGGAUCACCACAACCUUUGUUCUAUAUGAUUUCAGCCAUGAGUUUCUAUGCAAAACAGGUAGAGAUAUCCAUGGAGAAUAACUUUUGUGAAGGGAUAGUGGUAUGUUACUAAAAGAAAUUGGGCGAUCAAUGCAGCUAAACAAGGAAAUGUGCAAGGGGGCAGUGUUGACUGAUUCAUUAAAUUCAGAGGACUGAAACUGUGUUUCAGUGAUGUGUGGCCAACUUCAGAGCCACAUAACUUGUGAUCUACAUAUUUUGGGUCCUGUAUUUUUAUAGUAAACCUGAAGAGCCAUGGUUGGGGAACAAAUUUGUUUAGGAAUGCUUGAGCUAUCCUUGUUUGGAAUAGAGAGAAAAAGGUGUUCGAACUAUGUCUAUCAGGCAUGGAAAUGCAAACCUGAAUCAGUCACUAUGGAUUUGGUUCAGUAUUUUUCUCCUGACUUUGGAGCUGUUUAGUGUCAGAUCUAAGGAUUAUAAGGCUUUAGUCUGUAUGGAAGAUUGAUAGUGAGUUAGUUGGUGAACAAGGUUCCUUAAGGUCGGUUCCCCUGUUGUUGCUUGGAGCUGGGAAAAAUAAAGGGGUGAAGCUGUGAACUCAGUCAAACAGCAGCAGUUCAGUGUACUCCAAAAAUAUCUGAAGGAGAUCUUUUUAUCCCUGCUGGCUGCACUAGCGUGUAGAAAUGAAGAUAAGGUUGUAGUGAAUAGUUGAAGGUCCUAGAGCUCUCACUCCCCACUAAAAUAUCCAAUUUGGACUGCAUGGGGGGGGCAGUGGGCAGUAGAAAUCUUAUCUAUUUUGUCUACUACCUACAGAUUUGGACAAAGUGAUAUUUAUGUGUGGGAGCUGAGCCAACAAGGUGUAGUGCUUGUAUGCCACGUUUUUGAACCUUUAGUGUGCUGGCACUCUAGGAAUCCUCCUUCAUCAAGCGUGGAUGAGCUCCACUGCACCUGCCCCUAUAUUCAUUGCCUUGGGCUGUACUCAGUUUAGCUUCCCUCCCCUGCCCUCAUGCUCUAGCCAAAGUUGCAGCUGGUACGUGGUAGUUCAUGUAUCCAUGCUGGUAGUAGCUCUUCUCCUCAGCCACCAGUGCAGUUUACCCUUGUUCAUCACAGCCAACUCCUGUGUUUGGUGACCACAAUAGCAAUCCUUUAACCUCACCAUGGCCAGGGUUCGUGGAGAUUGUCUCGGCAUUGUUGUGCCCGUUCCUUGUUCCACACAUAACACCUAGAAGAAGUGGUGUUUGAAGGAGGAGUCUACUCCAGUGGCUACUGAUCAAUUGGAGGAGCCAUCUAACCGGGUAUUGGGUGGAAAGGUCUUUAGCCUCUUCUCUGCAACAAAGGUGAUGAGGAGUACCCUAAGUGUUCCUGUGGCUGGAGGGCAUUUCCAGUUCUGGAGGAAGAUUAGCUAGGCUUGUGUAUAAGCGUCGGAGGGUUCCUACCUUCUUGCUAUUGUAAUAAUUUAUGCACUUUGAGUAUAUCAGGACUUGUAAUAAAUGUAACUCUUCUUAUGUAAUAAACUUCAGUUUUAGAAAUGAAAAGAAUGUUUUAUAAAGUA
Long non-coding RNA from Zea mays, 7570 nucleotides. RefSeq lists it as uncharacterized. The transcript is spliced from 4 exons. The record is from RefSeq and is a predicted model, not a curated record. NCBI's taxonomy places the organism in Eukaryota, Viridiplantae, Streptophyta, Magnoliopsida, Poales, Poaceae.